Molecule: small nucleolar RNA, 142 nt
Organism: Polyodon spathula (Mississippi paddlefish)
Lineage: Eukaryota; Metazoa; Chordata; Actinopteri; Acipenseriformes; Polyodontidae
Product: small nucleolar RNA SNORA57
Exons: 1
Source: RefSeq, a predicted model, not a curated record
CCUCCGGUUGCUGGCGUGCAUGUAGUCGUGUCAGUACUGUUUGAGAGAGUGUUUUAUAUGGAGGGACAGUAACUGUCGGUGCCAUGUCUUCGGUAGCAGCGAGCUCGUAUCUCUGGUUCUAUCCUCAAUCACUGACACACCC